RNAcentral lists this ribosomal RNA (260 nucleotides) under uncultured archaeon. RNAcentral's name for it is "partial 16S ribosomal RNA". It matches the Rfam family "Archaeal small subunit ribosomal RNA", at positions 718 to 982 of the family's 1478-position model. The record is from RNAcentral.
AGUCACUGACAUUAGAUACCCCUGUAGUCCCAGCCGUAAACUAUGCGCGUUAGGUGUAUCGGUGACCACGAGUUACCGAGGUGCCGAGGGAAACCGUGAAACGUGCCGCCUGGGAAGUACGGUCGCAAGGCUGAACUUAAGGAAUUGCGGGGAGCACCACAACAGGUGGAGCCUGCGGUUUAAUUGGACUCAACGCCGGGAAGCUCACCGGAUAGGACAGCAGAAUGAUUGCCGGGCUGAAGACCCUGCAUGACUAGCUG